GAGGGUAUAGCUCAGUGGUAGAGUUUAUGCCUAGCAUGCAGGAGGUCCUGGGUUCAGUCCCCAGUACCUCCA
This 72-nucleotide transfer RNA is filed under the name Camelus bactrianus (Bactrian camel). It matches the Rfam family "tRNA". Rfam says of the family: Transfer RNA (tRNA) molecules are approximately 80 nucleotides in length. Their secondary structure includes four short double-helical elements and three loops (D, anti-codon, and T loops). Further hydrogen bonds mediate the characteristic L-shaped molecular structure. tRNAs have two regions of fundamental functional importance: the anti-codon, which is responsible for specific mRNA codon recognition, and the 3' end, to which the tRNAs corresponding amino acid is attached (by aminoacyl-tRNA synthetases). tRNAs cope with the degeneracy of the genetic code in two manners: having more than one tRNA (with a specific anti-codon) for a particular amino acid; and 'wobble' base-pairing, i.e. permitting non-standard base-pairing at the 3rd anti-codon position. Lineage: Eukaryota; Metazoa; Chordata; Mammalia; Artiodactyla; Camelidae. The record is from Rfam by way of RNAcentral. RNAcentral also lists the same sequence under 2 other names.